GUGCUCGCUUCGGCAGCACAUAUACUAAAAUCGGAACGAUACAGAGAAGAUUAGCACAGCCCCUGCACAAGGACGACACGCAAAUUCGUGAAGCGUUCCAUGCUUUU
RNAcentral lists this small nuclear RNA (107 nucleotides) under Myotis brandtii (Brandt's bat). The record is from RNAcentral. Lineage: Eukaryota; Metazoa; Chordata; Mammalia; Chiroptera; Vespertilionidae.